Molecule: unclassified non-coding RNA, 376 nt
Filed under: uncultured bacterium
Lineage: Bacteria
Description: contains 16S-23S intergenic spacer region
Source: RNAcentral
UCCGGUUUGUCACCGGCAGUCUCCCAUGAGUCCCCAACCUAAUGCUGGCAACAUGGAACGGGGGUUGCGCUCGUUGCGGGACUUAACCCAGCAUCUCACGACACGAGCUGACGACAGCCAUGCACCACCUGUGAAGGUGUCCCGAAGGAAAGCCGUGUUUCCACGGCGGUCACCUACAUGUCAAGCCCGGGUAAGGUUCUUCGCGUUGCUUCGAAUUAAGCCACAUCCUCCACCGCUUGUGUGAGCCCCCGUCAAUUCCUUUGAGUUUUAGCCUUGCGGCCGUAGUCCCCAGGCGGAGUACUUAUCGCGUUAGCUGCGGCACCGAGGGGGUCGAUACCCCCGACACCUAGUACUCAUCGUUUACAGCGUGGACUAC